AACGAACGCUGGCGGCAUGCCUAACACAUGCCAGUCGAACGAGACCUUCGGAUCUAGUGGCGCACGGGUGCGUAACGCGUGGGAACCUGCCCUUAGGUUCGGAAUAACUCCCCGAAAGGGGUGCUAAUACCGGAUAAUGUCUUCGGACCAAAGAUUUAUCGCCUUUGGAUGGGCCCGCGUUGGAUUAGCUAGUUGGUAGGGUAAAAGCCUACCAAGGCGACGAUCCAUAGCUGGUCUGAGAGGAUGAUCAGCCACACUGGGACUGAGACACGGCCCAGACUCCUACGGGAGGCAGCAGUGGGGAAUAUUGGACAAUGGGCGAAAGCCUGAUCCAGCAAUGCCGCGUGAGUGAUGAAGGCCUUAGGGUUGUAAAGCUCUUUUACCCGGGAUGAUAAUGACAGUACCGGGAGAAUAAGCGCCGGCUAACUCCGUG
RNAcentral lists this ribosomal RNA (433 nucleotides) under uncultured bacterium. RNAcentral's name for it is "partial 16S ribosomal RNA". It matches the Rfam family "Bacterial small subunit ribosomal RNA", at positions 29 to 507 of the family's 1533-position model. The record is from RNAcentral.